Molecule: transfer RNA, 75 nt
Filed under: Brumicola pallidula DSM 14239 = ACAM 615
Lineage: Bacteria; Pseudomonadati; Pseudomonadota; Gammaproteobacteria; Alteromonadales; Alteromonadaceae
Also listed under: 7 other names
Description: Glaciecola pallidula DSM 14239 = ACAM 615 tRNA-Gln
Rfam family: tRNA
About the family: Transfer RNA (tRNA) molecules are approximately 80 nucleotides in length. Their secondary structure includes four short double-helical elements and three loops (D, anti-codon, and T loops). Further hydrogen bonds mediate the characteristic L-shaped molecular structure. tRNAs have two regions of fundamental functional importance: the anti-codon, which is responsible for specific mRNA codon recognition, and the 3' end, to which the tRNAs corresponding amino acid is attached (by aminoacyl-tRNA synthetases). tRNAs cope with the degeneracy of the genetic code in two manners: having more than one tRNA (with a specific anti-codon) for a particular amino acid; and 'wobble' base-pairing, i.e. permitting non-standard base-pairing at the 3rd anti-codon position.
Source: RNAcentral
UGGGGUAUAGCCAAGUUGGUAAGGCAGCGGGUUUUGAUCCCGCGAUCGUAGGUUCAAGUCCUGCUACCCCAGCCA